CAAAAACCCCUGUAUUCUCCAACGAAUCCGUAACUGAAUAUUCUGCUCAUGCGGGGAAGGAUGAGAAGCUUCGACUAAGGUUCGACUCGAGCGCCAGCGAGAGAGCGUUGCCGCAGGCAACGACCCGUAGGGCGAAGCGCGCAGCGCUGAGUAAUCCUUCCCCCACCACCA
RNAcentral lists this small RNA (171 nucleotides) under Escherichia fergusonii ATCC 35469. RNAcentral describes it as "Rtt". The stretch from base 40 to 171 matches the Rfam family "RtT RNA". From Rfam's summary of the family: This family represents a bacterial cis-regulatory element known as RtT RNA. The exact function of RtT is unknown although it is thought that it may be involved in changing the cellular response in relation to amino acid starvation. The record is from RNAcentral. Lineage: Bacteria; Pseudomonadati; Pseudomonadota; Gammaproteobacteria; Enterobacterales; Enterobacteriaceae.